UACAGAGGGGGCAAGCGUUGUCCGGAUUUAUUGGGCGUAAAGCGCGUGUAGGCGGCCAGGUAGGUCCGCUGUGAAAACCCGAGGCUCAACCUCGGGACGUCGGCGGAAACCAUUUGGCUAGAGUCCGGAAGAGGAGAGUGGAAUUCCCGGUGUAGCGGUGAAAUGCGCAGAUAUCGGGAAGAACACCCGUGGCGAAGGCGGCUCUCUGGGACGGUACUGACGCUGAGACGCGAAAGCGUGGGGAGCGAACAGG
RNAcentral lists this ribosomal RNA (253 nucleotides) under uncultured bacterium. RNAcentral's name for it is "partial 16S ribosomal RNA". It matches the Rfam family "Bacterial small subunit ribosomal RNA", at positions 524 to 776 of the family's 1533-position model. The record is from RNAcentral.